This 920-nucleotide ribosomal RNA is filed under the name uncultured archaeon. RNAcentral's name for it is "bacterial SSU rRNA". It matches the Rfam family "Archaeal small subunit ribosomal RNA", at positions 1 to 922 of the family's 1478-position model. The record is from RNAcentral.
UUCCGGUUGAUCCUGCCGCCGGACCUGACUGCUAUCGGAUUGAUACUAAGCCAUGCGAGUCAUUGUAGCAAUACAAGGCAGACGGCUCAGUAACGCGUAGUCAACCUAACCUAUGGACGGGAAUAAUCUCGGGAAACUGAGAAUAAUGCCCGAUAGAACAUUAUGCCUGGAAUGGUUUAUGUUCCAAAUGAUUUAUCGCCGUAGGAUGGGACUGCGGCCUAUCAGUUUGUUGGUGAGGUAAUGGCCCACCAAGACUAUUACAGGUACGGGCUCUGAGAGGAGUAGCCCGGAGAUGGGUACUGAGACACGGACCCAGGCCCUAUGGGGCGCAGCAGGCGAGAAAACUUUGCAAUGUGCGAAAGCACGACAAGGUUAAUCCGAGUGGUUUCUGCUAAAGGAACCUUUUGUCAGUCCUAGAAACACCGACGAAUAAGGGGUGGGCAAGUUCUGGUGUCAGCCGCCGCGGUAAAACCAGCACCUCAAGUGGUCAGGAUGAUUAUUGGGCCUAAAGCAUCCGUAGCCGGCGCUAUAAGUUUUCGGUUAAAUCUGUACGCUCAACGUACAGGCUGCCGGGAAUACUGCAGCGCUAGGGAGUGGGAGAGGUAGACGGUACUCGGUAGGAAGGGGUAAAAUCCUCUGAUCUAUUGAUGACCACCUGUGGCGAAGGCGGUCUACCAGAACACGUCCGACGGUGAGGGAUGAAAGCUGGGGGAGCAAACCGGAUUAGAUACCCGGGUAGUCCCAGCUGUAAACUAUGCAAACUCAGUGAUGCAUUGGCUUUAAAGCCAGUGCAGUAUUGCAGGGAAAGCCGUUAAGUUUGCCGCCUGGGGAAGUACGUACGCAAGUAUGAAACUUAAAGGAAUUGGCGGGGGAGCACCACAAGGGGUGAAGCCUGCGGUUCAAUUGGAUUCAACGCCGGG